This is a non-coding RNA of Gasterosteus aculeatus aculeatus (three-spined stickleback), 250 nucleotides long. NCBI's taxonomy places the organism in Eukaryota, Metazoa, Chordata, Actinopteri, Perciformes, Gasterosteidae. The record is from RefSeq and is a predicted model, not a curated record.
CUCAAGCUGCAGGUACACACACACACUACCUCAAGCUGCAGAGACAAGGAUCCGUUGACUUCUGAGCGGCUCAUCCUGUUACCCACAAUGCAUCGGGCUGAAGAGUCUCCUGUUCCCAUGGCAACAUGCUGUGUCCUGCUGUUGGUGUUUAGAUGAUAUGAUGAUGUAAUAUUAUACUGUUGUUUCAUGUUUCAUUCACCCAAAAAAGUGUGUUGAUGUUGAUGAGAAUAAAUCAUUGAUCAGAAAACUA